GAUGAACGCUGGCGGCGUGCCUAAUACAUGCAAGUCGAGCGAACGGACGAGAAGCUUGCUUCUCUGAUGUUAGCGGCGGACGGGUGAGUAACACGUGGAUAACCUACUUAUAUGACUGGGAUAACUUCGGGAAACCGGAGCUAAUACCGGAUGAUAUUUUGAACCGCAUGGUUCAAAAGUGAAAGACGGUCUUGCUGUCACUUAUAGAUGGAUCCGCGUUGCAUUAGCUAGUUGGUAAGGUAACGGCUUACCAAGGCAACGAUGCAUAGCCGACCUGAGAGGGUGAUCGGCCACACUGGAACUGAGACACGGUCCAGACUCCUACGGGAGGCAGCAGUAGGGAAUCUUCCGCAAUGGGCGAAAGCCUGACGGAGCAACGCCGCGUGAGUGAUGAAGGUCUUCGGAUCGUAAAACUCUGUUAUUAGGGAAGAACAUAUGUGUAAGUAACUGUGCACAUCUUGACGGUACCUAAUCAGAAAGCCACGGCUAACUACGUG
RNAcentral lists this ribosomal RNA (497 nucleotides) under uncultured bacterium. Its description in RNAcentral is "partial 16S ribosomal RNA". It matches the Rfam family "Bacterial small subunit ribosomal RNA", at positions 28 to 507 of the family's 1533-position model. The record is from RNAcentral.